CCUACGGGAGACAGCAGUGAGGAAUAUUGGUCAAUGGCCGUAAGGCUGAACCAGCCAAGUCGCGUGAAGGAAGAAGGAUCUAUGGUUUGUAAACUUCUUUUAUAGGGGAAUAAAGGUAUCCACGUGUGGAUAUUUGCAUGUACCCUAUGAAUAAGCAUCGGCUAACUCCGUGCCAGCAGCCGCGGUAAUACGGAGGAUGCGAGCGUUAUCCGGAUUUAUUGGGUUUAAAGGGUGCGUAGGUUGUUUUUUAAGUCAGCGGUGAAAGUUUGUGGCUCAACCAUAAAAUUGCCGUUGAAACUGGAAGUCUUGAGUGUGUUUGAGGUAGGCGGAAUGCGUGGUGUAGCGGUGAAAUGCAUAGAUAUCACGCAGAACUCCGAUUGCGAAGGCAGCUUACUAAGCCAUAACUGACACUGAAGCACGAAAGCGUGGGGAUCAAACAGGAUUAGAUACCCGAGUAGUC
Molecule: ribosomal RNA, 460 nt
Filed under: uncultured bacterium
Lineage: Bacteria
Description: partial 16S ribosomal RNA
Rfam family: Bacterial small subunit ribosomal RNA
Source: RNAcentral